RNAcentral lists this ribosomal RNA (765 nucleotides) under uncultured Streptococcus sp. RNAcentral's name for it is "bacterial SSU rRNA". It matches the Rfam family "Bacterial small subunit ribosomal RNA", at positions 28 to 776 of the family's 1533-position model. Lineage: Bacteria; Bacillati; Bacillota; Bacilli; Lactobacillales; Streptococcaceae. The record is from RNAcentral.
GACGAACGCUGGCGGCGUGCCUAAUACAUGCAAGUAGAACGCUGAAGAGAGGAGCUUGCUCUUCUUGGAAGAGUUGCGAACGGGUGAGUAACGCGUAGGUAACCUGCCUUGUAGCGGGGGAUAACUAUUGGAAACGAUAGCUAAUACCGCAUAACAAUGGGUGACCCAUGUCAUUCAUUUGAAAGGGGCAACUGAUCCACUACAAGAUGGACCUGCGUUGUAUUAGCUAGUAGGUGAGGUAACGGCUCACCUAGGCGACGAUACAUAGCCGACCUGAGAGGGUGAUCGGCCACACUGGGACUGAGACACGGCCCAGACUCCUACGGGAGGCAGCAGUAGGGAAUCUUCGGCAAUGGGGGCAACCCUGACCGAGCAACGCCGCGUGAGUGAAGAAGGUUUUCGGAUCGUAAAGCUCUGUUGUAAAUCAAGAACGAGUGUGAGAGUGGAAAGUUCACACUGUGACGGUAGCUUACCAGAAAGGGACGGCUAACUACGUGCCAGCAGCCGCGGUAAUACGUAGGUCCCGAGCGUUGUCCGGAUUUAUUGGGCGUAAAGCGAGCGCAGGCGGUUUGAUAAGUCUGAAGUUAAAGGCUGUGGCUCAACCAUAGUUCGCUUUGGAAACUGUCAAACUUGAGUGCAGAAGGGGAGAGUGGAAUUCCAUGUGUAGCGGUGAAAUGCGUAGAUAUAUGGAGGAACACCGGUGGCGAAAGCGGCUCUCUGGUCUGUAACUGACGCUGAGGCUCGAAAGCGCGGGGAGCGAACAGG